Anolis sagrei ordinatus is the source of this 1563-nucleotide non-coding RNA. NCBI's taxonomy places the organism in Eukaryota, Metazoa, Chordata, Lepidosauria, Squamata, Anolidae. The record is from RefSeq and is a predicted model, not a curated record.
AGGGAAGGAAGGUAGAGUUGCUGGGACCCCGAAACGCCCAAAGGUCUCUCUGGGCGCGUCUACACUGCGGAAUUGAUGCAGUUCUGUACCACUUGAGCUGCCCUGGAUCAAGUCUAUGGAAUCCUGGGAAGCUGGACUUCGGUGGGAGAGGUAUUUUGGGUGCAUCUACACUGUAGAAGGAAUGCAGAUUGGCACCACUUCGGCUGCUAUGGGAGUUGUAGUUCUGCAAGGUUUUCCAAGGUCUGUAGCCCAUGUGCAUUGCACCACUUCCGCUGCUAUGGGAGUUGUAGUUCUGCAAGGUUUUCCAAGGUCUGUAGCCCAUGUUCAUUGCACCACUUCAGCUGCUAUGGGAGUUGUAGUUCUGCAAUGUUUUCCAAGGUCUGUAGCCCAUGUGCAUUGCACCACUUCCGCUGCUAUGGGAGUUGUAGUUUUCCAAGGUUUUCAAAGGUCUGUAGCCUUUUCUGUCCAAGCGAGUCGCACCACUUCAGCUGCCAUGGGAGUUGUAGUUUUCCAAGGUUUUCCAAGGUCUGUAGCCUUUUCUGCCCAUGUGGGUUGCACCAUUACAGCUGCCAUGAGAAUUGUAGUUUUCUGAGGUUUUCAAAGGUCUGUAGCCUUUUCUGCCCAAGUGGAUUGCACCACUUCAGCUGCCACGGGAGUUGUAGUUUUCCAAGGUUUUCAAAGUUCUGUAGCCUUUUCUGUCCAAGUGGGUUGCAUUGGUUCAGCCGCCAUAGGAGUUGUAGUUUUCCAAGGUUUUCCAAGGUCUGUAGCCUUUCUGCCCAAGUGGGUCGCACCACUUCAGCUGCUAAGGGAGUUGUAGUUUUCUAAAGUUUCCAAAGGUCUACCCAAGUGGGUCGCACCACUUCGGCUGCUAUGGGAGUUGUAGUUUUCCAAGGUUUUCCAAGGUCCGUAGCCUUAUCUGAUGCCUCGCCAAACUACAACUCCCACGGUCCCAUAGCAUGGAGCCGUGGCUGUUCAAGUGGUGCCAAACUGCAUUAAUUCUACAGUAUAGACGCAUCCCAUAAUGAUCCAAUUUCCUUUCCACCAAAAGUUUAUUUGGGGGGUGGGGGACGGAAGUGAUGAAGACGAUGGGAUAUGCAAUCCCUCUUUCCUUAAGGCAUGUUCAUGAAGACCUCAAAACCUUCACGACGGGAUUUUGUUUUGGGGGGAGGAGAGUGGGAGGGUGGCAUGGUGUGCGUUGCGAUUCUUUAUUUUUUAGCCCACACUGGAGCCCACUAUCGUAGCCAAUGGAUUUGCACCUCUUCGGUAGCCCAGCUUUCGCCCAACCGGGGCCGUGCUCAAGGUUUCGAGGGUUGCAGCCCGCGAUAUAUUCGGAACGUGGCGCCCGCUUGGCCAAAGCUGCACUAGUUUUGUCUCUAGAUGCCACACAGUUGUUGUAUCCACACACAAAGAAAAAGUCCCCGAACAAUGGGGGGAUUUUGUGGGGUUGGGUGGGAGGGGGGGAGGAGGAUAUGGAACAGAGUUAUUUUGUGGGGGGCAAACCGGGGAAGAAGGGGCCUGGGUCUAUUUAUUGAUUCAAAAUAAAAAAUAAUGUUAACCAUGGAA